RNAcentral lists this non-coding RNA (55 nucleotides) under uncultured Alistipes sp. The record is from RNAcentral. Lineage: Bacteria; Pseudomonadati; Bacteroidota; Bacteroidia; Bacteroidales; Rikenellaceae.
UUUGUGGAAAGAUUUGGCCGCUUGCAACCACGGAAAAAAAUGCUAAAAUAGUAUU